UGGGGAAUAUUGGGCAAUGGGCGAAAGCCUGACCCAGCAACGCCGCGUGAAGGAAGAAGGUUUUCGGAUUGUAAACUUCUGUCCUCAGGGAAGAAGGAAGUGACGGUACCUGAGGAGGAAGCCCCGGCUAACUACGUGCCAGCAGCCGCGGUAAUACGUAGGGGGCGAGCGUUGUCCGGAAUGACUGGGCGUAAAGGGCGCGUAGACGGUUUUUUAAGUCUGGAGUGAAAGUCCUGCUUUCAAGGUGGGAAUUGCCUUGGAGACUGGGGGACUUGAGUGCGGAAGAGGUAAGUGGAAUUCCCAGUGUAGCGGUGAAAUGCGUAGAGAUUGGGAAGAACACCAGUGGCGAAGGCGACUUACUGGGCCGUAACUGACGUUGAUGCGCGAAAGCGUGGGGAGCGAACAGG
RNAcentral lists this ribosomal RNA (407 nucleotides) under uncultured bacterium. RNAcentral's name for it is "bacterial SSU rRNA". It matches the Rfam family "Bacterial small subunit ribosomal RNA", at positions 355 to 776 of the family's 1533-position model. The record is from RNAcentral.